AUGGGUCAAUGCCCGUGAUGGAAUGUUUUCCACUCCAAGAAAGUGUAGUGGUCUUCCUCUCCGCUCUAGAUACUGAUGGUGGAAGCCUGAAUACAGCUGCAAACAUGAACGUCAAGGGAACUGUCAAUAUAGGGAAGAAUUGAUCAUCUUGCAUUACAUAGGAGGAGAUUAUCUUCAAGUAACUUGUAGUAACCCGCAUGGUUGCAUAUUAUAAUCAGUCCUUUACUAUGUACUUAGAAGGAAAAUAAUCUUCUAACAUCUGUUAAUAAAUCUUUUAUUUGGAGAUGGACUAUGUUUUAGCCAAAUUGAUGUACUAUUUUUCAGGAAAUAGAGAUACUUAAGUGGUUUCUCAUUAAUUCUAACCUUUCUUCCAAGGCAACCGCAAUUCGUCUAACUGUUGUAUCAAGAAAAAAUGGAUUUCUUACCUCAUAGACCAGCCAUGUGCAACCUGCUAGUGGAUGGUCAUGAGGACUAUGCUACUACUUUUAGCAAUGUCUUGAACUUUUCCAACAACCCUAAAAGCACUUGAGAAUCAAUAUCAAAUGUAGGUUCAUCAAGAAACAACAGAGAUAAUGUUAUAUCUAUAACAGGUUAUCUUAAAUACUUCGACUGAUAGUAGCCCCCAAGGCCUAGCUCAAGUGGCAGAAGGUGGAGGAUUUGUGGCUUAGGUCGCAGGUUCAAGCCCCACACCAUGCAAAGCGAAGCCCGGUAUUUAAGUGGAGAAGGGUAGAGGGGCGGGCCCAUUAUCCACCGAGUUUAGAAGGCUGUGAUUGGUCCAAAGGGCGGGUCACAGACGGAUUUCUCGGUUAUAAAAAAAAAAUAAAAAAAAAUACUUCGACUGAUAGUAGAACUUUUUCAGAUGUGUGGAUGAAAAAUGAAGAAAUCAGUGAGAUUUGGUUUCAUCACAUAUUUUGACCAACAAAUAGACAAACUUUUGCCGUCACUGGUGCAAAAUAUAAAUUUGAACUAACCUUGCCUCUCAGCGCAGCAUAUAGAAGGGCUCCAAAGCCACCUUCUUCAGUCUUAUUCAAAAUGCUGAAGUCAUACGAAAAAUCCAGACUUGUCCACAUGUAUGCCCAAAAGACGUUGUUGAAGCAUCAUCAUCAAAGUCAGUGACUUAGAC
Molecule: long non-coding RNA, 1123 nt
Filed under: Solanum tuberosum (potato)
Lineage: Eukaryota; Viridiplantae; Streptophyta; Magnoliopsida; Solanales; Solanaceae
Description: long non-coding RNA (STUB_LNC003893)
Source: RNAcentral